UCCCAUGAUGGCAUGAAAUCUUUGAGACCUGAUUCUAUAUUGAUGAAAUUUACAAGCAGUAUUUGCUGAGGAU
Molecule: small nucleolar RNA, 73 nt
Filed under: Thalictrum thalictroides
Lineage: Eukaryota; Viridiplantae; Streptophyta; Magnoliopsida; Ranunculales; Ranunculaceae
Description: Small nucleolar RNA R66
Rfam family: Small nucleolar RNA R66
About the family: snoR66 is a C/D box small nucleolar RNA, which acts as a methylation guide for 18S ribosomal RNA in plants. snoR66 has been alternatively named snoZ269 in rice.
Source: Rfam by way of RNAcentral